RNA transcript from Beta vulgaris subsp. vulgaris (sugar beet), 1442 nucleotides. RefSeq lists it as uncharacterized. The transcript has 2 exons. The record is from RefSeq and is a predicted model, not a curated record. NCBI's taxonomy places the organism in Eukaryota, Viridiplantae, Streptophyta, Magnoliopsida, Caryophyllales, Amaranthaceae.
UCUUGCGUUUUUGAUGGCUUUGCAGAGUAUGUAUUGGUGAGGAUAAAUGCGGUAAAACAAAACAAUUGGUAAUAAACCUGUAAAUUUGACUGGAAAUUGUAUCUACUGGGUAGAAUUCUAUAAUGGAAGUGAAAUUUAACAAGUCAGAUAAGUUCUUUUCUAUAGGCGAAUUAAAAAGAGCAACCUAGACCGUCAUUAUGUUCUUGCAUAUGGUACUCAAUUUAGAUAAUGAACAGAGAGAACUAAAGUUCAUUCAAUGGUGGCUGCUUUGGGAAUGACACCUGAAGCUAUGAACUUUUAGUGAAACAAGGAACUGUGAGCAUCUUCGUGACCGUAAAAGGGGGUCAGGGGAGACUGUAGGUCUCUAUUGUAUGGUAAGAAAAGCAGGAGAUACUGUAUAGCAUAUAGAAUAUGAACACUGUAUGUGCUUUAUUGGAUUUUCUUGUGCAUAAAGGGACACAAAAUUGAAAAAAUUAAUUGAAUUCCAUUUAACAGGCAUGGGAAGAUUAGAAUAGGUGGAUGAAAGCAUUCUGAUUUCUGACUAUGAUCCCGCAGGAAUAGCUGCAUAGAAGGAUAAAAGAUAAAUUGAUUGAGCUUUCUGCUACUGUGAGGAUCCUAGUUUCAGGGGACAUUACAGCCCACUGUUACCAGUCGGUUGUGGAUAGCAUUGAGCAUAUUGCAGCGAUCAAGGCUGCAGUAGAACUGAAGUGCCGGCCAGAUGAGUGUUCACGAGUCAAAUUUCACUUGCAAUGCAGCUGAGUGAGAGAGCUGGCUUGAAGGAUGGAGAGUUGGCUUUGGAAAACAUUAUCAAUGGUAGUGAUUUGCCAUGCUCUCAUCAUUCACCUCCACCCUCACCAUCGUUUAUGAUUUAUUGCAUUCGCUAAUCAUGCUUUGUGGCUCAAUUUCACUUUUAGAGAUUGUAUCAAUAGAGGAACACACUGUUUUUUUUUUACUCUAGAAGCUCAUUUGGUAAAAUUUAAUAAAUGGAGGUAAUGAUAAUGAGGCUCCUGAGUAUUUCACAGUGAGGUACCAUCCAAACUUUCGGCAGUGCAUCACCGUCUUUAGAUAAUUUUACUUGUUCCUUCGCUGAUCCCUAUUACUGCUGAUUAGCACUUGUCUUGAGUAACUAGAUGUGGUAACGAGUGAUUAACUGAUGAUGGAAACUUCUCAAAGGUGAAACAAAUGAAAAUGAAACUAUGUAUUGGUAUGUGAAUUUACUCACAAUCUCAUUGAUGUUACCUUUUAUUCAUAUUAUCCCAUUACCCUGUACUAGCGAUGUGUAAAUUCUUGUGUCAAUGGUAUUUCAAGAACUUAUGAAUCUAAGAUUUCUGAAUUUUAGAGCAUUAGAACUUAAGUUAGCAAACAUUACUCUUUGUAGAGAAUGUAUUACAAAUCGAUUAAGCUCUGGACUCUAUUUUUCAAUAUAUGGUUUUUGGCAUUCA